RNAcentral lists this ribosomal RNA (301 nucleotides) under uncultured bacterium. RNAcentral's name for it is "partial 16S ribosomal RNA". It matches the Rfam family "Bacterial small subunit ribosomal RNA", at positions 509 to 807 of the family's 1533-position model. The record is from RNAcentral.
CAGUCGCCACGGUAAUACGAAGGGUGCAAGCGUUAAUCGGAAUUACUGGGCGUAAAGCGCGCGUAGGCGGUUUGUUAAGUCUGUUGUGAAAUCCCCGGGCUCAACCUGGGAAUGGCAAUGGAUACUGGCAAGCUAGAGUGUGUCAGAGGAUGGUGGAAUUCCCGGUGUAGCGGUGAAAUGCGUAGAGAUCGGGAGGAACAUCAGUGGCGAAGGCGGCCAUCUGGGCCAAUACUGACGCUCAUGCACGAAAGCGUGGGGAGCAAACAGGAUUAGAUACCCCUGUAGUCCCUGUCUCUUAUAC